Molecule: non-coding RNA, 45 nt
Filed under: Schistosoma mansoni
Lineage: Eukaryota; Metazoa; Platyhelminthes; Trematoda; Strigeidida; Schistosomatidae
Source: RNAcentral
AUCCAGCUGACGAGUCCCAAAUAGGACGAAACACGCUUAUUGGAU